This 779-nucleotide ribosomal RNA is filed under the name uncultured Neocallimastigales. RNAcentral's name for it is "partial large subunit ribosomal RNA". It matches the Rfam family "Eukaryotic large subunit ribosomal RNA", at positions 22 to 634 of the family's 3401-position model. Lineage: Eukaryota; Fungi; Neocallimastigomycota; Neocallimastigomycetes; Neocallimastigales. The record is from RNAcentral.
CAUAGCGACUAUCGUGGCAUAUCAAUAAGCGGAGGAAAAGAAACUAACAAGGAUUCCCUUAGUAGCGGCGAGUGAAGCGGGAAGAGCUCAAAUUUGAAAUCUUCAAGGUUUUACCUUGACGAAUUGUAGUUUAAAGAAGUGUUUUCUGUUGAAGUUUUGGUAAAAGUUCUUUGGAAUAGGACAUCAUAGAGGGUGAGAAUCCCGUAUUUGACCAUUAUUUUCAGCUGUGUGAUACACUUUCAAAGAGUCGGAUUGUUUGGGAAUGCAGUCCAAAAUGGGUGGUAAAUUUCAUCUAAAGCUAAAUAUUGGCGAGAGACCGAUAGCGAACAAGUACCGUGAGGGAAAGAUGAAAAGAACUUUGAAAAGAGAGUUAAACAGUACGUGAAAUUGUCAAAAGGGAAGCGUUUGACACCAGUGUUGUUUUCUCGAAAAUCAAUUAAAAAAUGGUGGGAUUUUGUGUUGUAUUGGACUUUAUCAAGCUUUCUGCACUUUUUUCCUAGUCUUUUUAAUGCACUUUUCGUUUAACAAGUCAACAUCAGUUUCUUUUGUUGUAAAAGGGUCAUUGGAAGGUGGCUUUCUUUUCGGAGAAAGUGUUUAUAGCCUUUGAUCUCUGCAACCGGAGAGACUGAGGUCUGCAGCGUAGACUCUUCGGGGUUAGAUACAUUUGUGCUAAGUUAUAGCUUUUUCAUAGACAACUUGUUGACUAUAUUUAGUCUUGUAGGCUUACUCGCUUAUGCUAUUUUACCUACGCUUAGGAUGUUGAUAGUCACAGCGUGUAC